Long non-coding RNA from Mustela lutreola (European mink), 858 nucleotides. RefSeq lists it as uncharacterized. The record is from RefSeq and is a predicted model, not a curated record. The transcript is spliced from 3 exons. Lineage: Eukaryota; Metazoa; Chordata; Mammalia; Carnivora; Mustelidae.
UGUGGCUACCCUAGAACCUGUCAGCCAUAGCAAUACCAGUUAAUCCACUAGGAAUCAGAUGCAAAGUUAGGAUAAUACAGCCAUAAUGAGAGGCCAGAAGAGUCCUUUUGUUAUUCAGAAAACAGGAAAUGUAUGCAGCAAGUAGAAUGACCUUUAGAAUUCAUUGGAAGAAAAUCAAAUGCUUGCCACUUCUACCAGCAUUCAUUACAUUGAGGAAUUAUUCAUUGGAUGAUGAAUAAUCUCUCCCUGAUGUAGGCAUCACUGGGAACACAAGACAACAUGGGGAGAGCUGCACUAAUAUUCCCCGCUGGGCAGAUAUCAUCCCUGAAGAUUAAGAUCCUAAUGACAGACUGCCCUGAGGCCCCAGCCAAGGACUCUUCACACCUGUGUAAGGUCCGCUGGGCAACCUAAGAAGGCAGGGCCCUAUCUGGUUCCAUAAUCAAAGAUCAUGAGUUCUGUAGGAGUUUGGAGAGACAAGCCCAUCCUGAGAGCACAUGAGCAAGUGAUACCUGAGCUGGUUACUGAAGAAAGGUCUAGAGAAGAGGGAAGAAGGAUGUACCAGGUGGAAGAGGCUCUAUAAGCAAAGAUCUGAGCUGGUAAUUGCACAUGGGAACACAGCGUGGUCUCAGCAAGCUGCAGGGAAGACAAUCUAAAUAGAUGUUGUCAGAAACAAGGUUAAAGUUGAGUGGGGACCAUACAAAGGGGUUUUGGCAUUAAACUGUGUUUGAAGAAUUCAACUUUCCUGAAACAUAUAAUUGGCUUUGACAUACAAGUACUCAUUACAUGAAGGGAAAAGUGGAGCUUUUGGAAUAUUAUGUUGGUAAAGGUACAUGUAGAAGCCCAGGCAGACUGUGCGUA